GAUGAACGCUGGCGGCGUGCCUAACACAUGCAAGUCGAGCGAAGCACCUUACUUGAUUUCUUCGGGAUGAAAGUAUUGUGACUGAGUGGCGGACGGGUGAGUAACGCGUGGGUAACCUGCCUCAUACAGGGGGAUAACAGUUAGAAAUGACUGCUAAUACCGCAUAAGCGCACGGUAUCGCAUGAUACAGUGUGAAAAGCCGAGACGGUAUGAGAUGGACCCGCGUCUGAUUAGGUAGUUGGUGAGGUAACGGCCCACCAAGCCGACGAUCAGUAGCCGACCUGAGAGGGUGACCGGCCACAUUGGGACUGAGACACGGCCCAA
This 324-nucleotide ribosomal RNA is filed under the name uncultured bacterium. Its description in RNAcentral is "bacterial SSU rRNA". It matches the Rfam family "Bacterial small subunit ribosomal RNA", at positions 28 to 334 of the family's 1533-position model. The record is from RNAcentral.